This 159-nucleotide long non-coding RNA is filed under the name Chinchilla lanigera (long-tailed chinchilla). RNAcentral's name for it is "lncRNA (ENSCLAG00000026254.1)". The record is from RNAcentral. Lineage: Eukaryota; Metazoa; Chordata; Mammalia; Rodentia; Chinchillidae.
AAACUCUUUGAUAUAAGUACGAAGACUCAAAGAACGAAGAAUAACAUGUCCGCAUGCAUGGCUGGUAGUAGAUGCUGGGUCUUUUCGUAUAACAAUCCUUGAUAUCACAAAUAAAAAAAAUAGAGGGGCAACCUGAUUUCAAUAUAGAUAUUUUGGGAC